This 21-nucleotide small nuclear RNA is filed under the name Arabidopsis thaliana (thale cress). Its description in RNAcentral is "snRNA_10659". The record is from RNAcentral. Lineage: Eukaryota; Viridiplantae; Streptophyta; Magnoliopsida; Brassicales; Brassicaceae.
UCCGGAGACGUCGGCGGGGGC